RNAcentral lists this ribosomal RNA (946 nucleotides) under uncultured archaeon. RNAcentral's name for it is "bacterial SSU rRNA". It matches the Rfam family "Archaeal small subunit ribosomal RNA", at positions 4 to 925 of the family's 1478-position model. The record is from RNAcentral.
CCGGUUGAUCCUGCCGGACCCCACUGCUAUCGGGAUAGGACUAAGACAUGCUAGUCAAGCGCUUUCUAGCUAAUGUGAGAGCGCGGCGUACAGCUCAGUAACACGUGGCCAACCUGCCCUUGGGACGGGAACACCCCCGGGAAACUGGGGUUGAUUCCCGAUAGGUGGAGAAGUCUGGAAUGAAUCUUCGCUCAAAAGACGUUUAUGUCAUGCUCAUAUUCGUCGCCCAGGGAUGGGGCCGCGACCGAUCAGGUAGUUGGUGAGGCAAUGGCUCACCAAGCCUUUUACCGGUGCGGGCCGUGAGAGCGGGAGCCCGGAGAUGGGCACUGAGACAAGGGCCCAGGCCCCACGGGGCGCAGCAGUCGCGAAAACUUUGCAAUACACGAAAGUGUGACAGGGCUAUCCCGAGUGCCAUCCGCUGAGGAAGGCUUUUACCCAGUAUAAAUAGCUGGGAGAAUAAGGAGAGGGCAAGUCUGGUGUCAGCCGCCGCGGUAAUACCAGCUCUCCGAGUAGUGUGGACGUUUAUUGGGCCUAAAGCAUCCGUAGCUUGCUAGAUAAGUCCUCUGUUAAAUCCACCGAUUCAAUCGUUGGAUUGCGGGGGAUACUGUUUGGCUAGGGGACGGGAGAGGUCGACGGUAUUUCCGGGGUAGGGGUGAAAUCCUAUAAUCCCGGGAAGACCACCAGUGGCGAAGGCUGUCGACUAGAACGCGCCCGACGGUGAGGGAUGAAAGCUGGGGGAGCGAACCGGAUUAGAUACCCGGGUAGUCCCAGCUGUAAACGAUGCAGGCUAGGUGUUUGGGCGGCCACGAGCCGCCCUAGUGCCGCAGGGAAGCUGUUAAGCCUGCCGCCUGGGGAGUACGGCCGCAAGGCUGAAACUUAAAGGAAUUGGCGGGGGAGCACCACAAGGGGUGAAGCUUGCGGUUUAAUUGGAGUCAACGCCGGAAAU